GAUGAACGCUGGCGGCGUGCCUAAUACAUGCAAGUCGAGCGAACAGACGAGGAGCUUGCUCCCCUGACGUUAGCGGCGGACGGGUGAUUAACACGUGGAUAACCUACCUAUAAGACUGGGAUAACUUCGGGAAACCGGAGCUAAUACCGGAUAAUAUAUUGAACCGCAUGGUUCAAUAGUGAAAGACGGUUUUGCUGUGACUUAUAGAUGGAUCCGCGCCGCAUUAGCUAGUUGGUAAGGUAACGGCUUACCAAGGCUACGAUGCGUAGCCGACCUGAGAGGGUGAUCAGCCACACUGGAACUGAGACACGGCCCAGACUCCUACGGGAGGCAGCAGUAGGGAAUCUUCCGCAAUGGGGGAAAGCUUGACGGAGCAACGCCGCGUGAGUGAUGAAGGUCUUCGGAUCGUAAAACUCUGUUAUUAGGGAAGAACAAAUGUGUAAGUAACUAUGCACGUCUUGACGGUACCUAAACAGAAAGCCACGGCUAACUACGUG
RNAcentral lists this ribosomal RNA (497 nucleotides) under uncultured bacterium. RNAcentral describes it as "partial 16S ribosomal RNA". It matches the Rfam family "Bacterial small subunit ribosomal RNA", at positions 28 to 507 of the family's 1533-position model. The record is from RNAcentral.